This is a long non-coding RNA of Suricata suricatta (meerkat), 688 nucleotides long. RefSeq lists it as uncharacterized. The record is from RefSeq and is a predicted model, not a curated record. The transcript has 2 exons. NCBI's taxonomy places the organism in Eukaryota, Metazoa, Chordata, Mammalia, Carnivora, Herpestidae.
ACUCUCUCCAGGCGCGGGGCAGUCUGUCAAAAGGACUGGCCCUGAAAUUCUCACAACCCUAUGCGAUGAUACUCUGUUGCGCCCAUUUUACCGGUCAACCACCUGAGGCUUAGAGAAGGGAAGUCGUGGCCUUUGAGUCUCACGCUGGAGGGACCCCAUCAUUCCUGCAGGGGACCAACAGCUUCACGAGUUCCUGGAUGAUGAUGUUGUCACCUUUUCAGAACCCCUGUGCUAUUCUGUCUUGGACGAGUUUCUUGCCAACCCUUGAAAAUGGGCAUAAGACACCCUCCUCUUCCACAGUUUCAUGUCCCCUCCCCUCAGGCUGGUGGUGUUUGCGAUGGUGAUUGGCAGUUGGCUAAACAGCUGGAUCCUAUCAGCUCCUCCCUCCCCUCCAGACAGACGUUCAAUCACAUGAGGCCCAUCUGCCAGCCCUUUGGGUCUGUCACUCUAGAUUAGAGAUAGGGGCAGCUGUGGCAACAUGGAGAGAGGGCAUUCUGCGGGCAGAUUUUCAAAUCUGCCCAUCCCCACCACCACCCUCUGCAGCCCCGUGGAAGAGGGUCCUCCUAUAGGAGCUCAGAGCCUAGUGAUCCUGUGAACUACCCUAACAUGUGAAUGCUAAAAAUUGGAAUUCACAUGCCUUACAUCUAAACAUGUAACAGACUGUAAAAAUAAAAUGUUUAUUCUCUUA